CCUACGGGAGGCAGCAGUGAGGAAUAUUGGUCAAUGGACGAGAGUCUGAACCAGCCAAGUAGCGUGCAGGAUGACUGCCCUAUGAGUUGUAAACUUCUUUUAUAUGGGAAUAAACUGUUCCACGUGUGGGUUUUUGUAUGUACCAUAUGAAUAAGGAUCGGCUAACUCCGUGCCAGCAGCCGCGGUAAUACGGAGGAUCCGAGCGUUAUCCGGAUUUAUUGGGUUUAAAGGGUGCGUAGGUGGGUUGUUAAGUCAGUUGUGAAAGUUUGCGGCUCAACCGUAAAAUUGCAGUUGAAACUGGCAGUGUGGAGUACAGUAGAGGUGGGCGGAAUUCGUGGUGUAGCGGUGAAAUGCGUAGAUAUAACGAAGAACUCCGAUUGCGAAGGCAGCUCACUGGACUGUAACUGACACUGAGGCGCGAAAGUGUGGGUAGCAAACAGGAUUAGAUACCCCAGUAGUC
Molecule: ribosomal RNA, 460 nt
Filed under: uncultured bacterium
Lineage: Bacteria
Description: partial 16S ribosomal RNA
Rfam family: Bacterial small subunit ribosomal RNA
Source: RNAcentral